This 300-nucleotide unclassified non-coding RNA is filed under the name uncultured Leucosporidiales. Its description in RNAcentral is "sequence contains 5.8S rRNA gene, ITS2". The stretch from base 1 to 71 matches the Rfam family "5.8S ribosomal RNA", at positions 84 to 154 of the family's 154-position model. The record is from RNAcentral. Lineage: Eukaryota; Fungi; Basidiomycota; Microbotryomycetes; Leucosporidiales.
GUGAGUCAUCGAAUCUUUGAACGCACCUUGCGCUCCCUAGUAUUCUGGGGAGCAUGUCUGUUUGAGUGUCAUGAACUCUUCAACCCUCCCGUUUCUUGUAUUCGGGCUGGAGUUUGGAUUUUGAACGCUUGCUGGUCUUCGGACGUAGCUCGUUCGUAAUACAUUAGCAACUCUAAUUCGACUUCGGAUUGACUCAGUGUAAUAGACUAUUCGCUGAGGACACUUUUACUAGUGGCCGAACGAGAUAACUGUAGAUGCUUCGAACCUCUAUAGUCAACUUUAGAUUAGACCUCAGAUCAG